RNAcentral lists this transfer RNA (85 nucleotides) under Candidatus Omnitrophota bacterium. RNAcentral describes it as "Candidatus Omnitrophica bacterium (aquatic metagenome) tRNA-Leu". It matches the Rfam family "tRNA". Rfam says of the family: Transfer RNA (tRNA) molecules are approximately 80 nucleotides in length. Their secondary structure includes four short double-helical elements and three loops (D, anti-codon, and T loops). Further hydrogen bonds mediate the characteristic L-shaped molecular structure. tRNAs have two regions of fundamental functional importance: the anti-codon, which is responsible for specific mRNA codon recognition, and the 3' end, to which the tRNAs corresponding amino acid is attached (by aminoacyl-tRNA synthetases). tRNAs cope with the degeneracy of the genetic code in two manners: having more than one tRNA (with a specific anti-codon) for a particular amino acid; and 'wobble' base-pairing, i.e. permitting non-standard base-pairing at the 3rd anti-codon position. The record is from RNAcentral. Lineage: Bacteria; Pseudomonadati; Candidatus Omnitrophota.
GCGGAUGUGGCGGAACUGGCAGACGCGCACGGCUUAGGACCGUGUGCCUUCGGGCUUGAGAGUUCGACUCUCUCCAUCCGCACCA